CUUCCUACGGGGGGCAGCAGUGAGGAAUAUUGGUCAAUGGGCGAGAGCCUGAACCAGCCAAGUCGCGUGAUGGAUGACUGCCCUAUGGGUUGUAAACCUCUUUUGUAUGGGGGGAAUAAGCUUUACGAGUAGAGUGAUGACAGUACCAUACGAAUAAGCAUCGGCUAACUCCGUGCCAGCAGCCGCGGUAAUACGGAGGAUGCGAGCGUUAUCCGGAUUUAUUGGGUUUAAAGGGUGCGUAGGCGGUUUGAUAAGUUAGAGGUGAAAUGUCGGGGCGCAA
This 280-nucleotide ribosomal RNA is filed under the name uncultured bacterium. RNAcentral's name for it is "partial 16S ribosomal RNA". It matches the Rfam family "Bacterial small subunit ribosomal RNA", at positions 335 to 612 of the family's 1533-position model. The record is from RNAcentral.